GGGUUUAGGAGAGAAACCCAGAAAUCCAAACAGAAUUGCAUCAAUCUACCACUGCGAAAACGAUUAAUCAUCCUCCUUUACUAUCAGUUUGCCUUCAUUGAGUUCUUUCUACUAGAAAAGGGAAGAUUUGAAAGGACAAAGAACAACUAGCGGUUGCAAAAGCUUCCCACCUCCAUUGCCAGUGAUUUGCAAAAAACCCAGAC
This 203-nucleotide unclassified non-coding RNA is filed under the name Hevea brasiliensis (rubber tree). Lineage: Eukaryota; Viridiplantae; Streptophyta; Magnoliopsida; Malpighiales; Euphorbiaceae. The record is from RNAcentral.